AUGCCUUUGCCUGUUCCUGUUGCUCCAUGGGAGGACAUUUCUAUGGACUUCGUCUUGGGCUUGCCAAGAACAAGACGAGGAAGUGAUGUUGUAUUUGUGGUCAUGGAUAGAUUCUCUAAGAUGGCUCAUUUCGUCCCAUGCCGCAAGACAACGGAUGCUCAUCAUGUGGCAAACCUAUUCUUUCGAGAAGUGGUCAGACUUCAUGGAGUUCCAAGGUCCAUUGUCUCAGACUGUGAUAGCAAGUUACUUGCUGCAUUUUGGCUCACUUUGUGGAAGCAAUUCAACACUGAAUUGAAAUUUUCUAGCACUGCUCAUCCACAAACAAAUGGACAAACGGAAGUGGUGAACAAGUUUUGGGGUAAUCUGAUCCGUUGCAUUUGUGGAGAAAGAAAGGGACAAUGGGAUUUGGCUUUAUCUCUUGCAGAAUUCUCCUACAAUAACUCCAAGCAUAGAUCCACAGGAAGGAGCCCUUUUUCCAUUGUCUACACUAAAGUUCCAACACAUGUGGUGGACCUAGUAAAGCUACCAUCAAGGGGAAACUCAAAAUCAGCAUUGUCCUUUGUUGAUAAUUACACCGAGUUAUUUGAAGAGAUUCGCGGUUCUUUGGAAGCACAAAAACAGAAAUAUAAACAACUUGCUGAUUGCAAAAGGAGGCCAAAAUCAUUCCAAGCCGGUGAUAAGGUGAUGGUCUACCUCCGAAAAGAUAGGCUGCCUUUAGGUGUUAAAGGGAAACUUAGGCAGCGAAGGUAUGGACCCUUCUCUAUCGUGAGGAAGAUAAAUGAUAAUGCUUAUGUGAUAGAUCUUCCAAGCGAUAUGGGUAUCUCCAACACUUUCAAUGUUGUGGACUUGACUCUCUACCAUCCAGAAGAAGCGCUCUAUGAAGAUAACUCGAGGGAGAGUUCCAAACAACCAGGGGAGAAUGAUGAGGAACAAUAG
This 936-nucleotide ribosomal RNA is filed under the name Triticum aestivum (bread wheat). RNAcentral describes it as "partial small subunit ribosomal RNA". The record is from RNAcentral. Lineage: Eukaryota; Viridiplantae; Streptophyta; Magnoliopsida; Poales; Poaceae.